GGCCUAACACAUGCAAGUCGAGCGGUAUAGAUUUUUCGGAAUCUAGAGAGCGGCGUACGGGUGCGGAACACGUGUGCAACCUACCUUUAUCAGGGGGAUAGCCUUUCGAAAGGAAGAUUAAUACCCCAUAAUAUAUUGACUGGCAUCAGUCGAUAUUGAAAACUCCGGUGGAUAGAGAUGGGCACGCGCAAGAUUAGAUAGUUGGUAGGGUAACGGCCUACCAAGUCAGUGAUCUUUAGGGGGCCUGAGAGGGUGAUCCCCCACACUGGUACUGAGACACGGACCAGACUCCUACGGGAGGCAGCAGUGAGGAAUAUUGGACAAUGGGUGAGAGCCUGAUCCAGCCAUCCCGCGUGAAGGACGACGGCCCUAUGGGUUGUAAACUUCUUUUGUAUAGGGAUAAACCUACUCUCGUGAGAGUAGCUGAAGGUACUAUACGAAUAAGCACCG
Molecule: ribosomal RNA, 450 nt
Filed under: uncultured Flavobacteriia bacterium
Lineage: Bacteria; Pseudomonadati; Bacteroidota; Flavobacteriia
Description: bacterial SSU rRNA
Rfam family: Bacterial small subunit ribosomal RNA
Source: RNAcentral